Molecule: transfer RNA, 73 nt
Filed under: Gemmatimonadaceae bacterium
Lineage: Bacteria; Pseudomonadati; Gemmatimonadota; Gemmatimonadia; Gemmatimonadales; Gemmatimonadaceae
Also listed under: 2 other names
Description: tRNA-Lys
Rfam family: tRNA
About the family: Transfer RNA (tRNA) molecules are approximately 80 nucleotides in length. Their secondary structure includes four short double-helical elements and three loops (D, anti-codon, and T loops).
Source: RNAcentral
GACCCGGUAGCUCAGUCGGUAGAGCAGCGGCCUUUUAAGCCGUAGGUCGUGGGUUCGAUCCCCACCCGGGUCA